CCCCGCCUGGGGAGUACGGGUGAGGUAACGGCUCACCAAGGCAUUGACGGGUAGCUGGUCUGAGAGGAUGAUCAGCCACACUGGGACUGAGACACGGCCCAGACUCCUACGGGAGGCAGCAGUGGGGAAUAUUGCACAAUGGGCGAAAGCCUGAUGCAGCAACGCCGCGUGCGGGAAGACGGCCCUAGGGUUGUAAACCGCUUUCAGCAGGGAAGAAAAUGACGGUACCUGCAGAAGAAGGUGCGGCCAACUACGUGCCAGCAGCCGCGGUGACACGUAGGCACCAAGCGUUGUCCGGAUUUAUUGGGCGUAAAGAGCUCGUAGGCGGUUCAGUUAGUCGGGUGUGAAAACUCUGGGCUCAACCCAGAGACGCCACUCGAUACUGCUGUGACUAGAGUGCGGUAGGGGAGCGGGGAAUUCCUAGUGUAGCGGUGAAAUGCGCAGAUAUUAGGAGGAACACCAGUGGCGAAGGCGCCGCUCUGGGCCGUAACUGACGCUGAGGAGCGAAAGCGUGGGUAGCAAACAGGAUUAGAUACCCUGGUAGUCCACGCCGUAAACGUUGGGCACUAGGUGUGGGUCUCAACCAACGAGAUCCGCGCCGUCGCUAACGCAUUAAGUGCCCCGCCUGGGGAGUACGG
This 638-nucleotide ribosomal RNA is filed under the name uncultured Actinomycetes bacterium. RNAcentral describes it as "bacterial SSU rRNA". It matches the Rfam family "Bacterial small subunit ribosomal RNA", at positions 231 to 885 of the family's 1533-position model. Lineage: Bacteria; Bacillati; Actinomycetota; Actinomycetes. The record is from RNAcentral.